RNAcentral lists this ribosomal RNA (494 nucleotides) under uncultured bacterium. RNAcentral's name for it is "partial 16S ribosomal RNA". It matches the Rfam family "Bacterial small subunit ribosomal RNA", at positions 28 to 507 of the family's 1533-position model. The record is from RNAcentral.
GACGAACGCUGGCGGCGUGCUUAACACAUGCAAGUCGAACGGUGAAGCGCCUUCCUUUUUGGUGGGUGUGGAUGAGUGGCGAACGGGUGAGUAACACGUGAGUAACCUGCCCCCUUCUUCUGGAUAACCGCAUGAAAGUGUGGCUAAUACGGGAUAUUCUGGGUCUGUCGCAUGAUGGGUCUGGGAAAGAUAUUGUUUCGGUGGGGGAUGGGCUCGCGGCCUAUCAGCUUGUUGGUGGGGUGAUGGCCUACCAAGGCGGUGACGGGUAGCCGGCCUGAGAGGGUGGACGGUCACACUGGGACUGAGACACGGCCCAGACUCCUACGGGAGGCAGCAGUGGGGAAUAUUGCACAAUGGGCGCAAGCCUGAUGCAGCGACGCCGCAUGAGGGAUGGAGGCCUUCGGGUUGUGAACCUCUUUCGCCAGUGAAGCAGGCCUGCCUCGUUUGUGGGUGGGUUGACGGUAGCUGGAUAAGGGGCGCCGGCUAACUACGUG